This 844-nucleotide long non-coding RNA is filed under the name Cyanistes caeruleus (blue tit). RNAcentral's name for it is "lncRNA (ENSCCEG00000021636.1)". The record is from RNAcentral. Lineage: Eukaryota; Metazoa; Chordata; Aves; Passeriformes; Paridae.
AUGAAAAGAAGUUUAUUUUUAUUGAGCAGCUUCCUGUGGUUUUCUCGCCAUGCUCUAAGGGCUUUGGAGAAAUUCGUCAUGUUGCUGGCAGUGCAGAAUCUGCUUUGUGGAGAAGUCGGGUUUUGGAGAUGGGAUUUUCAGCCAAACAGCUUUUUUAUGUCUGGAAAUGGAUUGCCAGAACUUUUCUGCAGACCUUAUACCCUGACUGAGCAGUCCAGUACCUCCCCAGAGCAUGCAAACUGGCAUCUGCUGGCAACUUCACUGCUCUCCUGUCAAACCACAAACAGGGAUUAAUUUAAGGUAGUUUUAAUACAUCAACUGAUUUCCCUCACAGUCUGCUCUUGAGCUGUGCAAGUCCUCUUUGGCUUUGCCUAUGCCUGGGAAGAUGAGGAUCUUGUGUCCUCUGGCCUGAGUAAAGGAUGUUUUCCAGAAGCAGGAGUGUGCGGCUUGGGGGUUCAGUGGGGUGACCCCCACCUUCUCAACAGAUGGCACAGACUCCUGCAGUGAGCCUGUCCCGUCUCAGGUGUGGCCACCUGGGCCUUGGGACAGUUGGGUCAUUACAGAAUCCAGAGGGAGGGAUGAGGAACAUCACCAAUGCCCAGGACCAAAGUGAAGAACCACGCUGUUUCUUUUAACCUGGAGAAGUUAUUUUCCAGGUGGUCUGAUAAUUGAACUAGUUUGAAUUAAGCAGUACUGGUACUCUGUGGUGAUGGUGGUUGGUUAGCCAGUGGCUGCUUUCAGUCUUGAAAGAAAGGAGCUUGAAUGUUGUGCGCCUUAGGAUUUCCUUAGUUGAAAUAUUGUCUUAAUCAAUAAAAACAUAUGAGGCACAGUUGUUGGAAAGGGC